Molecule: ribosomal RNA, 433 nt
Filed under: uncultured bacterium
Lineage: Bacteria
Description: partial 16S ribosomal RNA
Rfam family: Bacterial small subunit ribosomal RNA
Source: RNAcentral
AACGAACGCUGGCGGCAUGCCUAACACAUGCAAGUCGAACGAGACCUUCGGGUCUAGUGGCGCACGGGUGCGUAACGCGUGGGAACCCGCCCUUGGGUUUGAAACAACGCCCAGAAGGGGUGGACAAGACGGGAAAAGGUCUACGGGCCAAAGAUUAACGGCUUUUGGAUGGGCCCGCGUUGGAUUAGCUAGUUGGUAGGGUAAAAGCCUACCAAGGCGACGAUCCAUAGCUGGUCUGAGAGGAUGAUCAGCCACACUGGGACUGAGACACGGCCCAGACUCCUACGGGAGGCAGCAGUGGGGAAUAUUGGACAAUGGGCGAAAGCCUGAUCCAGCAAUGCCGCGUGAGUGAUGAAGGCCUUAGGGUUGUAAAGCUCUUUUACCCGGGAUGAUAAUGACAGUACCGGGAGAAUAAGCUCCGGCUAACUCCGUG